Molecule: transfer RNA, 89 nt
Filed under: Posidoniimonas corsicana
Lineage: Bacteria; Pseudomonadati; Planctomycetota; Planctomycetia; Pirellulales; Lacipirellulaceae
Description: Planctomycetes bacterium KOR34 tRNA-Ser
Rfam family: tRNA
About the family: Transfer RNA (tRNA) molecules are approximately 80 nucleotides in length. Their secondary structure includes four short double-helical elements and three loops (D, anti-codon, and T loops).
Source: RNAcentral
GGAAGGUAGCCGGAUACGGCUCGCCGGGCCGCACUGCUAAUGCGGAGCCGCUUCGCGCGGCAUGUGGGUUCGAAUCCCACGCCUUCCGC